AUAGGGUUUUCACGCCGCCUCUUGUUUUUCUUCUUCUCCCAGAUCUGAACUCGGUUCGCUGAAAAAAGAAGCUGAAGAUAAGUUUAAUCAAUCAGUGGCCGGGAAACAACAAAUGGCUUCUGAUAAAUGUAAAAGUAGUGGAUUUGUAUUUACUUGUCCAAAAAAAAAUGUAAGAAAUUCCAUCCAUACAGAAUCAAUUUUCAGUCAUGGUGAACAAGAGUAGCAGUGGCAGGAAGAGUAGUAGUGGCAGGAAUGGUGGCGGCGGCGGCAAUGGUUAUAAAGGAGUGAGAAUGAGGAAAUGUGGGAAAUGGGUAUCUGAGAUAAGGUGGACUAGGAAUGCUCGAAGAUGCUAUUGCGCCUGACAGUACUAGUGGUGGCAGCUGCGACACAUUCUAUCAGCUGGAUGAUCCAUAUUUUUGUUGGACAUACUGAUGCAAUCUUCCAACCUUCGGUUAUUCAAGUCACCUAGUAUUUUGAUAAUAUUUUAGUAGAAAAAUGCACCAGAUUUGAAUGAUGCAUCCUUGUAGUAUUUAUAAUAAGGUGGCAUUUGUCAUCAUGUAAUAAAUGAGUAGCAGAGAUGGAGAAAAUCUUGAAUUCUGUACUGCAAGAACAAUCUAGAAUGGUCUUGAGUUCUCUGGAGGAAGCAUAGAGGAGGAGAUGACAAAACAAAAAGGAGUUGGACUAAGACCGGGGAUGCUGAUUAGCGAAUUGGUGCAACUUGUGAACAUAUACCCCUUUUAAAACUGGCCCUUGGACCAACAUUUUUCAUUUCAAUAAAACUCAGUGUCAUCUAACCAUGGUUGGUCUUGAAAAGUUAGGACUAACCCUGGUCAGGAGAGGAUAUGCUUAUCUUCAUCUGUCUCUCUCAACUAUUUCACCCAACUCUGGUAGGUGGAACUCAUUGAAGUGAGUCUUUAUUUGUUUGGUUUGGGUUUUGAAAACAAGGAUCAAGCAGUUCAAUCUUUAGCUCCACUCUUGUAUUUUCAAGCUCACUCUGGGCAACAAAACACAAAUGGGUUGUUGUUGUUGUAAUUUGGAAACUGGGUUUGUAUGGGAUUGUGGUGGAGGUGGAGGAAACAAACCCCUUUGAAUGUCAUAAUGACUUGUCCUCUCGAAAUAUUUUUAUCUAUGAGGCCGAAUAAUCUAUAUUUUUCCGGGAAAAGUCGUGAAGAUCCAAGAGGAGAUGAAAACUCAGCAGCAGCUGAUUGCAACAUGCUGUUCAGGAAAAUGGUGCUGGAGAUAUUUAAGUUUAAGCUCACAACUAGUAGCAUACUACUGGAUUCAUCUCUUUCUGUUAUGGUAACCCACUGUGAUUUUUCCUCUCAAACUUACUCCCAAACCUGAACUUGUAAGAAUCAUGGUUAUGAUUUAUGCUUUGUCAAAAGAUCUCUGGAAGAAUCAAAUUUUAUUUUUUGCACAUUUCCAUUAUGUUUCCUGCAGUGACUAUUAUGCUCUCAAACUUGGCGCUUGCCCUCCUUGUAUGUA
Molecule: long non-coding RNA, 1485 nt
Organism: Papaver somniferum (opium poppy)
Lineage: Eukaryota; Viridiplantae; Streptophyta; Magnoliopsida; Ranunculales; Papaveraceae
Exons: 3
Source: RefSeq, a predicted model, not a curated record